UACGAAGGGUGCAAACGUUGCUCGGAAUUAUUGGGCGUAAAGCGCGCGCAGGCGGCCUUUUAAGUCUGAUGUGAAAUCUUGCGGCUCAACCGCAAGCGGUCAUUGGAAACUGGGAGGCUUGAGUACAGAAGAGGAGAGUGGAAUUCCACGUGUAGCGGUGAAAUGCGUAGAUAUGUGGAGGAACACCAGUGGCGAAGGCGACUCUCUGGUCUGUAACUGACGCUGAGGCGCGAAAGCGUGGGGAGCAAACAGG
RNAcentral lists this ribosomal RNA (253 nucleotides) under uncultured bacterium. RNAcentral's name for it is "partial 16S ribosomal RNA". It matches the Rfam family "Bacterial small subunit ribosomal RNA", at positions 524 to 776 of the family's 1533-position model. The record is from RNAcentral.